GACGAACGCUGGCGGCGUGCUUAACACAUGCAAGUCGAACGGUGAAGCGCCUUCCUUUUUGGUGGGUGUGGAUGAGUGGCGAACGGGUGAGUAACACGUGAGUAACCUGCCCCCUUCUUCUGGAUAACCGCAUGAAAGUGUGGCUAAUACGGGAUAUUCUGGGUCUGUCGCAUGAUGGGUCUGGGAAAGAUAUUGUUUCGGUGGGGGAUGGUCUCGCGGCCUAUCAGCUUGUUGGUGGGGUGAUGGCCUACCAAGGCGGUGACGGGUAGCCGGCCUGAGAGGGUGGUCGGUCGCACUGGGAGUGAGACACGGACCAGACUCCUAAGGGAGGCAGCAGUGGGGAAUAGUGGACAGUGGGCGCAAGCCUGAUGCAGCGACGCCGCGUGAGGGAUGGAGGCCUGCGGGUUGUGAACCUCUUUCGCCAGUGAAGCAGGCCUGCCUCGUUUGUGGGUGGGUUGACGGUAGCUGGAUAAGAAGCGCCGGCUAACUACGUG
This 494-nucleotide ribosomal RNA is filed under the name uncultured bacterium. RNAcentral's name for it is "partial 16S ribosomal RNA". It matches the Rfam family "Bacterial small subunit ribosomal RNA", at positions 28 to 507 of the family's 1533-position model. The record is from RNAcentral.